GCCUUCGUGGUGUAACGUGUUAGCACACUCGGCGCCUAUUCGAGAGGUCCAGGUUCGAGUCCCGUUGAAGGCA
RNAcentral lists this transfer RNA (73 nucleotides) under Stegodyphus mimosarum. It matches the Rfam family "tRNA". Rfam says of the family: Transfer RNA (tRNA) molecules are approximately 80 nucleotides in length. The record is from Rfam by way of RNAcentral. Lineage: Eukaryota; Metazoa; Arthropoda; Arachnida; Araneae; Eresidae.